This 305-nucleotide ribosomal RNA is filed under the name uncultured bacterium. RNAcentral's name for it is "bacterial SSU rRNA". It matches the Rfam family "Bacterial small subunit ribosomal RNA", at positions 337 to 639 of the family's 1533-position model. The record is from RNAcentral.
ACCUACGGGAGGCAGCAGUGAGGAAUAUUGGUCAAUGGGCGGAAGCCUGAACCAGCCAAGUCGCGUGAGGGAAUAAGGCCCUACGGGUCGUAAACCUCUUUUGCCGGGGAGCAAGGGCCGGGACGCGUCCCGGCCCGGAGAGUACCCGGAGAAAAAGCAUCGGCUAACUCCGUGCCAGCAGCCGCGGUAAUACGGAGGAUGCGAGCGUUAUCCGGAUUUAUUGGGGUUAAAGGGUGCAUAGGCGGGCUUUUAAGUCAGCGGUAAAAAUUCGGGGCUCAACCCCGCCCGGCCGUUGGAACUGGGGG